This 468-nucleotide ribosomal RNA is filed under the name uncultured bacterium. Its description in RNAcentral is "partial 16S ribosomal RNA". It matches the Rfam family "Bacterial small subunit ribosomal RNA", at positions 28 to 507 of the family's 1533-position model. The record is from RNAcentral.
GACGAACGCUGGCGGCGUGCUUAACACAUGCAAGUCGAACGGAAAGGCCCUGCUUUUGUGGGGUGCUCGAGUAGCGAACGGGUGAGUAACACGUGAGUAACCUGCCCUUGACUUUGGGAUAACUUCAGGAAACUGGGGCUAAUACCGGAUAGGAGCUCCUGCUGCAUGGUGGGGGUUGGAAAGUUUCGGCGGUUGGGGAUGGACUCGCGGCUUAUCAGCUUGUUGGUGGGGUAGUGGCUUACCAAGGCUUUGACGGGUAGCCGGCCUGAGAGGGUGACCGGCCACAUUGGGACUGAGAUACGGCCCAGACUCCUACGGGAGGCAGCAGUGGGGAAUAUUGCACAAUGGGCGGAGGCCUGAUGCAGCAACGCCGCGUGCGGGAUGACGGCCUUCGGGUUGUAAACCGCUUUCGCCUGUGACGAAGCGUGAGUGACGGUAAUGGGUAAAGAAGCACCGGCUAACUACGUG